This 68-nucleotide transfer RNA is filed under the name Apsilochorema hwangi. RNAcentral describes it as "tRNA-Met". The record is from RNAcentral. Lineage: Eukaryota; Metazoa; Arthropoda; Insecta; Trichoptera; Hydrobiosidae.
UAAAAAAUAAGCUAAAUAAGCUCUUGGAUUCAUACUUCAACUAUAAAGGUACAGUCCUUUUUUUUUAA